GAUGAAGAACGUAGCGAAAUGCGAUAAGUAAUGUGAAUUGCAGAAUUCAGUGAAUCAUCGAAUCUUUGAACGCACAUUGCGCCCGCCAGUAUUCUGGCGGGCAUGCCUGUUCGAGCGUCAUUUCAACCCUCAAGACCCCUUCGGGGGACUUGGUGUUGGGGACCGGCACAGGGGCCUGCCUGCUUGUCUUGCAGCGCCCUCGCCGCCCCCGAAAUGAAUUGGCGGCCUCGUCGCGGCCUCCCCUGCGUAGUAGCACAAACCUCGCAACGGGAACGUGACGGCGGCCACUGCCGUAAAACAUCCCAAUUUUAUUAGAGUUGACCUCGAAUCAGGUAGGAAUACCCGCUGAACUUAAGCAUAUCAAUAAGCGGAGGA
This 375-nucleotide unclassified non-coding RNA is filed under the name soil metagenome. RNAcentral describes it as "partial contains 5.8S ribosomal RNA, internal transcribed spacer 2, and large subunit ribosomal RNA". The stretch from base 1 to 120 matches the Rfam family "5.8S ribosomal RNA", at positions 35 to 154 of the family's 154-position model. The record is from RNAcentral.